GACUGAUUGUGCAUGUCUACAGUAUACUUUGCAUCAAUGCAUCAACUUUUAUUGUACUCAAUAUAUGUACUUUAAUUACAGAAUGUUCAGUUUAUCCCUUAAUUAAAUUAGUCAAGUAUAGUAGCAUAUAUUAUAUUCUGGCAGUGUCAUAUCAGUUAGUUUAAUUGUUUGAAACUGUUCACAAGCGUCAUUAACUGCUCUGUAUUACACCUGGAAGGGAAUUUUUCUAAACAUCUCCUCGCAAUUUCUUUUAAAGGUCGGUAUUUGCAACGGCUAUAAAUUCUGGAAACGACAAUACCAACAGAGUAAAUAUCACUCUUUAUUGAGGGUGUGUGUGUACCAUCGACCACUUCUGGAGCAAUAUGUCUGUGAUGUUUGAAAUAUUUUUGUUGUUCCUCAAGGGUCAGAACUUUCCUCUUUGCUUUAUUCAUAAGACAUGCCUUACCAAAGUCAAUAAGUAUUGGACAACACAAACGCGAGCAGACUACAAGUAAUAUGUUGUCGCACUACAACUCCUACA
This is a non-coding RNA of Paramuricea clavata, 520 nucleotides long. The record is from the annotation of a GenBank genome assembly. NCBI's taxonomy places the organism in Eukaryota, Metazoa, Cnidaria, Anthozoa, Malacalcyonacea, Plexauridae.